This 1037-nucleotide long non-coding RNA is filed under the name Olea europaea subsp. europaea. Lineage: Eukaryota; Viridiplantae; Streptophyta; Magnoliopsida; Lamiales; Oleaceae. The record is from RNAcentral.
ACCAAAAAAGGGGCAAAGACUGCAACAAGAAUGAAGAAGAAAAGGUAGUAAUUGGAAGAGGGUUGAAACAAAAAACUCGAUGGUUAUUUCUGGCACAAAACAUAGCUAAUGAAAGGGAGGAAAUAAUUUGCAAAAUCGAAGGCAAAUUUUUCUUGGAAGAGUUUCUAGUGCCCAAGUUGAAAAAAGAACCCAUCGCAACGGUUAUUAAGAAGAGAAAAUCAGCGUCCACCCAAGGUUCCAUCUUUAUAUGGUUUGAAACGGAAAUAGAAAAACCUUGUUGGAAUCGAUAAUCUACUUUUACUUCCCUAUACAAAGAAAAUUUCAAAAGAUUUAUCCUUAAAUCAAUUACUUUAGCUCCCUUCUCAUCUGAACUAAACAAGUGGAGCCUCUGUCAACAAAGCCCUUCUCCAAAAAGAAAGGAAUUUCAAGUUCAAAUUAAUUGCAAGAAAGAAAAGCAAUAGAAGAUCAAAGUCUUAUGGCAACUGGGGAAUUUUCUACAGCCAUGUUGAAAGGAGUUUACAUUUUUCUAUAGAAGCUUAUGCAGAUUGGUAAGUGGCUCUUGGCCUAAAAGAGUAAAACAAGCCAUCCUCGUCCAACUUUCUCAUAAACUAACGUGGCAACACUAUUUUUCCACCGUUUUUCGGUUGAGAAGUGCUUCUUGCAAAGAAAUUCCCACAACUAUAAAGUUCCACAUCGCGUGUUUGACAGAAUGUUCAACUCAGAAAUCUUCUCUAUGGCUACAAUAAUGCAUGACAUUUUCCCAACUUCGACAAAGGCCGUUGAGGCAUCCACCGGUGCUAAUGACAUCCCGCAACACCACAAUGACCACCGGUACAUUGAUGUAAUUCCAUCCAUAUUAAUUGGUGAUGGGUGAAAGACUGGCAUUGGCGUGUUUUUCAAGUUGGUGGGUUGUCAAUUUCAGUCUUUUGCAGAUUUUUGCUAGCUAUGUAAUAGGCUUUUUGGCAGAAUAAGUGGUACCUUUGCUGGCCUUUCCUGCCGUCCAAAUGUAUCAACACAUUUGGGGCAGGUCAGCUAAC